AAUAAGAAGAAAAAAGCGGACAAGAUGAAUAACUCAAUAGAUGAUGUAUUUCUGCCCAAAGACAUUGAUUUGGACAGUGUAGACAUGGACGAGACCGAACGUGAGGUGGAAUAUUUCAAAAGGUUCUGCUUGGACUCAGCGCGACAGACAAGGCAGAGGUUGUCCAUCAACUGGUCCAAUUUUAGCUUGAAGAAGGCCACGUUUGCUGCCCACUAAUGGGUCUUCCUUUCAAGAGACAAUGGCAGGAAUCGAUAAGCGUUCCUCCGGUUUCUUCUCUCUCUCCCAUGUUUCUACAGACUGACUGCUGACCCCAGUGCUGCUAUGUUUCAACUGCUCCUCUGGUCUACAUUAUCCAUGCCGCCUUGCCUUGUCCUUGUUGCUAUGGGUUCCGCAAAGAACCCAAAAUGGGCUUAUAUUCCUGCAGUACUUCUGGAGAGAAAAAAAAAGAGCAAAGUCAAAAAAUAACAACAACCACAAAAUGCUACUCUAUAAGUUUAUCCCUAUUAUUUUGGUUUCCCUUUCUUCUUUUAAAAAGCGUGUGUGCUUUUUGUCAGUGAGUGGACCGUUUCCCUUAGGUCUGUGCCAUGUUCUGGGUUUUCUCUGGCUUUAUGUACAUUAGGAUGAAGGCACUGCAAAAGACAUGCUUCA
Molecule: long non-coding RNA, 648 nt
Organism: Sinocyclocheilus rhinocerous
Lineage: Eukaryota; Metazoa; Chordata; Actinopteri; Cypriniformes; Cyprinidae
Exons: 3
Source: RefSeq, a predicted model, not a curated record